GACGAACGCUGGCGGCGUGCCUAAUACAUGCAAGUAGAACGCUGAAGGUGGAGCUUGCUUCUCUGGAUGAGUUGCGAACGGGUGAGUAACGCGUAGGUAACCUGCCUGGUAGCGGGGGAUAACUACUGGAAACGAUAUCUAAUACCGCAUACUAGCAGUUGUCGCAUGAUAACUGUCUGAAAGGUGCAAUUGCACCACUACCAGUUGCACCUGCGUAGUAUGUGCUAGUUGGUGGGGUAACGGAUCACCAAGGCGACGAUACAUAGCCGACCGGAGAGGGUGAUCAGCCAGACUGAGAGUGAGACACGCCCCAGACGCCUACAGGAGGCAGCAGGAGUGAUUCUGCAGCAAGGAGCGGAAGUCAGAGCAAGCAAGGCGGCAUCAGUGAGGAGGGUCUUCGGAUGGUAAAUCUCUGUUGUAAGGUUAUAACGAGUGUGAGGCUGGAAAGAAGACACUGUGACGGUAUCUUACGAAGAAGCGACGGCUAACUACGUG
RNAcentral lists this ribosomal RNA (495 nucleotides) under uncultured bacterium. RNAcentral's name for it is "partial 16S ribosomal RNA". It matches the Rfam family "Bacterial small subunit ribosomal RNA", at positions 28 to 507 of the family's 1533-position model. The record is from RNAcentral.